Camellia sinensis is the source of this 1430-nucleotide non-coding RNA. Lineage: Eukaryota; Viridiplantae; Streptophyta; Magnoliopsida; Ericales; Theaceae. The record is from RefSeq and is a predicted model, not a curated record.
CUCAUAAAUAAAUAAAUAUUAUAAACAACUCAAUAAUGAGGUAUUUUGAGAAGAUAAUUAAAAGUUGACUUUUGACUUUUAAUUAAACUUUUUAAUUUUUUUGAAAGUGACUUAAAAAGUUGGUAAAAAGUUUUUUUGUUUUUUGUUUUUUAAAUUAAUAUUUAUUUACGAUGACACAUCACAAUAAAAUAAUCAAAAUACUCCAUCCAACUUAGGAAAUUUACAUUUUGCCCUAACCCUCAAGAUGUAAACAUGAAAGAUAGUUACGUAAUUUCACACUGUGCGUUUUGAACACUUCCCAAAUAAUUUUUGUUUCUUUUGUAGCUACUGUAACGUUUUUAUAAAGUUGCAAAACGUGACUUUUUACUACGAUUUCCAAAUAACCACAAAAUAUUAUACUUAAUACUAAUCAUCACAUCAACCGUUAUUGCAUUAUCAACUACCUAAGAUACACGAGUCCUUCCUUAAGCGGAUUCCUAUUUUGGUCCUUAUCCUUUAAGGUAUAAGAAGCAAUUUUCAACUAUUAUUCUCGUUCCAAUAGUAGAUCUUUACGUGUUACUCAACUAUUCACCCCAGAAAACUCCACUUCCUGUCCAACUUUCAUUCAUUAAGCAUGCUUCCAAUAGUAGGUUAUUAUGCAUUACUCAGCAAUUCACUACAAAAAAACUCCAUUUUCUGUCCAACUUGUUUUAUUAAGCAUGCUCCCAAUAGUAAAUUCGUACAUGUUACUCACCUAUUCACCAUGAAAACUCCACUUUCCGUCCAACUUGCAUUUCUUAAACAUGUCGACAACAUUCAUUCCCAAUUAAAGCAAAAAACUCUCCCCAAUCAAAAUAGUAGAGGUCAUCAUAACUUCACCCCUUUCAAUUCACAUAAUUAGUAAAUACAUUUUAUAUUUAUAAUUAUACCAUCAAAUAAAAAAACUAGUAUGAAUAUUAAUACACACCGGUAUAUAUUUUUUAUUUAAAUAUUUUUCAAAUUUAAAAAGCAAUAAUUUAAAGUGUCAACUAAAAAAUAAUAAUGUGUCAAACACUGAAAUAGCCAAAUAGUAGUACUUCCCAUUAUUUGAAAUUCCACAUAUAGACACCCUCCUUUAUUUCCAAGGAGUUACAUUGUCAUUUCCCUCUAACCCUUACCAGAAAACAGUAUUUACAAUUUUAUCAGACCAUAACAAAGUCAAAAUAAAAAAAUAAAAUAAAGAAAAACUUGUGUAACAUUAAAAAACCACUCUAACCAAGCACCCUACAUAUAUUUUUCAGCUAAAAACUUCCAACCUUUUUCAUCUUCACCCAUUUAGUCAUUCCCAUUGUCUUAUUCUCACUCUAGCCCUUCUAUUCCCAUCAUAUUUCUAUCAGCUUGCUUCUAUAUAUACAACACAAUACAUUAGAGGAGUUGGGUAGUAGUAGUGCUAAGGUUUCCCCAAACACUGG